CCUACGGGUGGCAGCAGUGGGGGAUAUUGCACAAUGGGGGGAACCCUGAUGCAGCGACGCCGCGUGGGUGAAGGAGCGUUUCGGCGCGUAAAGCCCUAUCGGCAGGGAAGAAGAUGACGGUACCUGACCAAGAAGCCCCGGCUAACUACGUGCCAGCAGCCGCGGUAAUACGUAGGGGGCAAGCGUUAUCCGGAUUUACUGGGUGUAAAGGGGGCGCAGACGGCAAUGCAAGUCUGAAGUGAAAGCCCGCGGCUCAACUGCGGAACGGCUUUGGAAACUGUGUAACUGGAGUGCUGGAGAGGUAAGCGGAAUUCCUGGUGUAGCGGUGAAAUGCGUAGAGAUCAGGAGGAACACCGGCGGCGAAGGCGGCUUACUGGACAAUAACUGACGUUGAGGCUCGAAAGCGUGGGGAGCAAACAGGAUUAGAUACCCUAGUAGUC
RNAcentral lists this ribosomal RNA (440 nucleotides) under uncultured bacterium. Its description in RNAcentral is "partial 16S ribosomal RNA". It matches the Rfam family "Bacterial small subunit ribosomal RNA", at positions 338 to 795 of the family's 1533-position model. The record is from RNAcentral.